AAGUGGAGCAAUCCAUGAGUAAAGUGGCGCACGGGUGAGUAACACGUGACUAACCUACCCUUGAGUGGGGAAUAACUUCGGGAAACCGAGGCUAAUACCGCAUAACACCUACGGGUCAAAGGAGCAAUUCGCUUAAGGAGGGGGUCGCGGCAGAUUAGUUAGUUGGCGGGGUAAUGGCCCACCAAGACAGUGAUCUGUAUCCGGCCUGAGAGGGCGCACGGACACACUGGAACUGAAACACGGUCCAGACUCCUACGGGAGGCAGCAGUGGGGAAUUUUGCGCAAUGGGGGAAACCCUGACGCAGCAACGCCGCGUGGAGGAUGAAGUCUCUUGGG
Molecule: ribosomal RNA, 336 nt
Filed under: uncultured bacterium
Lineage: Bacteria
Description: bacterial SSU rRNA
Rfam family: Bacterial small subunit ribosomal RNA
Source: RNAcentral